This 1060-nucleotide ribosomal RNA is filed under the name Rothia sp. (in: high G+C Gram-positive bacteria). Its description in RNAcentral is "bacterial SSU rRNA". It matches the Rfam family "Bacterial small subunit ribosomal RNA", at positions 36 to 1106 of the family's 1533-position model. Lineage: Bacteria; Bacillati; Actinomycetota; Actinomycetes; Micrococcales; Micrococcaceae. The record is from RNAcentral.
CGGGCGGGUGCUUACCUGCAGUCGAACGAUGAAGACUGGUGCUUGCACUGGUUGGAUUAGUGGCGAACGGGUGAGUAAUACGUGAGUAACCUGCCUUUGACUCUGGGAUAAGCCUGGGAAACUGGGUCUAAUACCGGAUAUGACAAGGAACCGCAUGGUUUUUUGUGGAAAGGGUUUGUACUGGUUUUAGAUGGGCUCACGGCCUAUCAGCUUGUUGGUGGGGUAAUGGCUCACCAAGGCGACGACGGGUAGCCGGCCUGAGAGGGUGACCGGCCACACUGGGACUGAGACACGGCCCAGACUCCUACGGGAGGCAGCAGUGGGGAAUAUUGCACAAUGGGCGCAAGCCUGAUGCAGCGACGCCGCGUGAGGGAUGACGGCCUUCGGGUUGUAAACCUCUUUCAGCAGGGAAGAAGCGAAAGUGACGGUACCUGCAGAAGAAGCGCCGGCUAACUACGUGCCAGCAGCCGCGGUAAUACGUAGGGCGCGAGCGUUGUCCGGAAUUAUUGGGCGUAAAGAGCUUGUAGGCGGUUUGUUGCGUCUGCUGUGAAAGACCGGGGCUUAACCCCGGUAUUGCAGUGGGUACGGGCAGACUAGAGUGCAGUAGGGGAGACUGGAAUUCCUGGUGUAGCGGUGAAAUGCGCAGAUAUCAGGAGGAACACCGAUGGCGAAGGCAGGUCUCUGGGCUGUAACUGACGCUGAGAAGCGAAAGCAUGGGGAGCGAACAGGAUUAGAUACCCUGGUAGUCCAUGCCGUAAACGUUGGGCACUAGGUGUGGGGGACAUUCCACGUUUUCCGCGCCGUAGCUAACGCAUUAAGUGCCCCGCCUGGGGAGUACGGCCGCAAGGCUAAAACUCAAAGGAAUUGACGGGGGCCCGCACAAGCGGCGGAGCAUGCGGAUUAAUUCGAUGCAACGCGAAGAACCUUACCAAGGCUUGACAUAUACUGGACCGCCUCAGAGAUGGGGUUUCCCUUCGGGGCUGGUAUACAGGUGGUGCAUGGUUGUCGUCAGCUCGUGUCGUGAGAUGUUGGGUUAAGUCCCGCAACGAGCGCAACCCUU